ACAGCAGUAGCCGCGGGAAUACAGAGGGUGCGAGCGUUAAUCGGAUUUACUGGGCGUAAAGCGUGCGUAGGCGGCUUUUUAAGUCGGAUGUGAAAUCCCUGAGCUUAACUUAGGAAUUGCAUUCGAUACUGGGAAGCUAGAGUAUGGGAGAGGAUGGUAGAAUUCCAGGUGUAGCGGUGAAAUGCGUAGAGAUCUGGAGGAAUACCGAUGGCGAAGGCAGCCAUCUGGCCUAAUACUGACGCUGAGGUACGAAAGCAUGGGGAGCAAACAGGAUUAGAUACCCCGGUAGUCCCUGUCUCUUAUAA
RNAcentral lists this ribosomal RNA (305 nucleotides) under uncultured bacterium. RNAcentral describes it as "partial 16S ribosomal RNA". It matches the Rfam family "Bacterial small subunit ribosomal RNA", at positions 508 to 809 of the family's 1533-position model. The record is from RNAcentral.